Molecule: unclassified non-coding RNA, 473 nt
Filed under: Hevea brasiliensis (rubber tree)
Lineage: Eukaryota; Viridiplantae; Streptophyta; Magnoliopsida; Malpighiales; Euphorbiaceae
Source: RNAcentral
AAACGGGUUUUCAGACAAAUCAAGAAAACCCCAAUUGGCGGUGGAAAGGAGGCUCCAAAGGCGGAUAAGCGGUGGUGCGAACAAUUACAAGUAGUUGUAGAGGGAGAAAGAUUUUAUAAGGGUUGGUUCUGUUUCUUGUUACCUGUUGAUACAGAUUCAGCUGUUUUUAGUUAGAAUUCCUCGAUUUCUUUUCAGAUAGACAGAGAGGAAAAGGGCAGAAAGAGGUCUUGUUUGUUUUGAUGGUUUUGGAGAGAGAAAUGUUGAGAUGGAAGAGCCGAUUUUGGAGGCGUGGGUACAAAGGUAAGAAUUUUCCAAGAACAUAUAUAAAACUUUCUGUUUUGCUGAAGAUUUUAGCUUGCACAGAUAGAAACAGAGGAAAGAGAAAGAUAGGAACUUUAUCAAACUCACUUUCUGGGUUAGGAUUAGGGUUAGGGGUCGGCUGAGGUCAGACCCCACACCGCCCUUUGGACGCG